This is a long non-coding RNA of Solea senegalensis (Senegalese sole), 160 nucleotides long. RefSeq lists it as uncharacterized. Lineage: Eukaryota; Metazoa; Chordata; Actinopteri; Pleuronectiformes; Soleidae. The record is from RefSeq and is a predicted model, not a curated record. The transcript has 3 exons.
UCAUCUAUUUGAUCAUUCCACCCCUAACUCUCCAUGUCUCAUAUUGUCUGCAUCACAUAAUCUUAACUGUCACCUGACGGAGACGCUUCCAUGUUAAACGAUAACACACCAGAGACUACAGGCAAUUAGAAAGAGAGGAACACCACUCGACGCACUCGAC